AGUGAACGCUGGCGGUAGGCCUAACACAUGCAAGUCGAACGGCAGCACAGUAAGAGCUUGCUCUUACGGGUGGCGAGUGGCGGACGGGUGAGGAAUACAUCGGAAUCUACUUUUUCGUGGGGGAUAACGUAGGGAAACUUACGCUAAUACCGCAUACGACCUACGGGUGAAAGCAGGGGAUCUUCGGACCUUGCGCGAUUGAAUGAGCCGAUGUCGGUUUAGCUAGUUGGCGGGGUAAAGGCCCACCAAGGCGACGAUCCGUAGCUGGUCUGGGAGGAUGAUCAGCCCCCCUGGAACUGGGCCACCGUCCAGACUCCUACGGGAGGCAGCAGUGGGGAAUAUUGGACAAUGGGCGCAAGCCUGAUCCAGCCAUACCGCGUGGGUGAAGAAGGCCUUCGGGUUGUAAAGCCCUUUUGUUGGGAAAGAAAAGCAGCAGGUUAAUACCCCGCUGUUCUGACGGUACCCAAAGAAUAAGCACCGGCUAACUUCGUG
RNAcentral lists this ribosomal RNA (492 nucleotides) under uncultured bacterium. RNAcentral describes it as "partial 16S ribosomal RNA". It matches the Rfam family "Bacterial small subunit ribosomal RNA", at positions 29 to 507 of the family's 1533-position model. The record is from RNAcentral.